AUGAGGGGGGGAAGAUUGAGAAAAAAGGAGGUAGAGAGAGCGUUACCCAAAAGAAUCAGAUCGCCUCUUCCGGUCCACACAGCCGCUAGAAUCCAAGAGGGUCCAGUUGCCAAGCGUGACCGGAAGUCCCGCCUCCCGUAUCCAGGGAGGCUGCACGCCUGCCGUCGUCAUUCAGGGUGUGACGAAGGGUUGUCGCAGGAAGCCGGGAGGUUGGAGGGAAGAAGCGCCCCCGCCCCAACCCCGCCCCUUUCAGGGUUGAAGUUGGGGUCCGGCGUGGUGAAGAGUAAAAACAGUCUCCAGCAUUCAAUAAGGAUUUUGAGUCUUGAGUCUCUCUAUCCCUUCCUUUUCCUCCUCCUACUGAGAUGGCUAUUCUAUAGGACUGACAAUAACAUGAAAGGCUAAUUAGGAGACUGGAACCUGCUUUACUCUACCCUGCCAUUUUCAUUUUUGCCAACAUGGUGAUGGAAAGCAGGAGUGGGCUGUGGCUCUGCAGGCUGCCCCGUGCCCUCCUGAUUCUGCUCAAUUGUCUGGAGAGCUGGCAGAGUGGUAUGGAUCCAAGCAGGGAAGCCCCAGGAAAGAUGCUCCAGUGGAAGACUUGACCAGAAACUACUCAGCUCUUCUGCCCUGUAUUCAUCUCAUCAAUGGACAGAGAUAUGGAAAGUGAUCCAGCCCAAAUGGCAAACCUGAAAGUUAUUCAGGUUAAACCCUGAUCUUAGAUCUUUUGUUGAGAAAAUAUAAAGAAAACCUUCCCAGAUCCAGGUUCAAGCAUGCUUGGUGAUGGGAAUUCCAGGCCAUCUUCAGGUUUUCCUACUUUCCCCCACAUUCCAGAUCUACUGAUAUCUACCAACCUCGUGAGUGCAUGUAGCCAAGCUCCCUGCAUUCUGUGUGUUUAUGUCCCCUGGUUGGCUUAAAUAUGUGUUUAUUUAAAUAAACAAUCAAACUUGCCAUCA
RNAcentral lists this long non-coding RNA (950 nucleotides) under Monodelphis domestica (gray short-tailed opossum). Its description in RNAcentral is "lncRNA (ENSMODG00000035918.2)". Lineage: Eukaryota; Metazoa; Chordata; Mammalia; Didelphimorphia; Didelphidae. The record is from RNAcentral.